Molecule: long non-coding RNA, 1647 nt
Filed under: Mytilus galloprovincialis (Mediterranean mussel)
Lineage: Eukaryota; Metazoa; Mollusca; Bivalvia; Mytilida; Mytilidae
Source: RNAcentral
CACCUCUUAAAUUUUAAUAUUCAAUUUCAUAUAGUAUUUAUAGGAAACAGGCCUCUAAUUUUAAUAAUUCUUGCUUCAUGGUCACCUUUAAAAAAGUCAAUUAAAUUCAAAUUACCAUGAUUAUAGUAAUCUGUUAUACUAUAUAAAUUUAACAAUUAUAUGCCACUGUUCUGCCUUCAACAAUGAGCCAAGCCCAUACCCCAUAGUCAAACAUAAAUGUUCUGAAAUGACAAUUGUAAAAUAAUUCAAACCAGAAAACUUAAUUCUAAUCAUUUUUGCUAAUCCAUUUAGAAACAAAGCAAUGAAAAAAACAAAUAUCUUACACAGCAACAAACAACAACCACUGAAUAACAGGCACAUACAUACAGAAUGUGGCACUGUUAAACUUGUACUAAAGUGGGGUCCCAACCCUUCCCUGACAUUGGACAGAGGUGUAUCAGUACAAUAUAAGAACAAACUUUUAAAUCAUGAAAAAAAGGCUGAAUUCGUUAGAUGAAUACAUAUAGAAUAACCAUACAUAGUCUCGAAGUAUCAAUGUUAUUUGUACAAGGCUUAGAAACAGGUAGAAAGCGAGGCUGUGCCGAGCAUUUCUACCUGUUUCGAGCCAAGUACAAAUAACCAAUUGAUAUUUCGAGACAAUGUAUGGUUAUUCUUUAUAUACUGCAUUUCUUAUAAGUGUUCUAAAUGAAGUAUUUAGGGUAAAAAAAAAAAAAAACAUUUUUUAAUUUGAAGCGCGGACGACGUAAAAUUUCCGCGAACCUGUAUGUUUUAUUGACGUCAUAAAUAAAACUCUACGGAAACGCAUUGUCAACGUCAUAAACAAGGUGAUAUACGGUCAGUGACUGUAUAUCACAUAUGAAUAUACAGUCAAUGCAAUUUGACUGCUCAAAUAGGACAGCUGCAGUAUAUAAAUAAAAAUACAUGUCACAACUAGAUUUGUCAAAACAUUACGAAUGGCCCUGUCUCAAAAAAUUGAAAAAUCUGCAAUUUCAAUAACACAUGUGGACACAAACAUUAUAUUGUCUCACAUAUCAAAAAUCAGCUCAAAAUCUGAAGGGGUAUAGAAAAAAAGUCUGCAUAAGUGUGAUUUUCAACAAUUUUCAAAGUCAUUAACUCUUAACUUUGGCAAAAAUCAGGGGAGUCAAACUAAACUUGAUGUGCAACUCGUCAUGGUAAACUCACAUACCAAAAAUCAGCACAAUAUCUGAAAGUGUUUAGAAAAAUUCUGCAUAACUGUGAUUUUCUAAAAUUUAUCAAAGUCCAAGGCUGUAAUUUUGAACAGAUAUCAAAUAUCCUUCAAUAAUAUCAGAUUAUUACAUGGCAUUUUUCAUAUCGCAUGUAUUAUCAGCCCUAGGUUCAAUAUCAGCCCAAGAGCCGCAUGGCUCGAGGGCUGAUAUUGACCGAGGGCUGAUAAUACAUGCGAUAUGAAAAAUGACAUGUUAUGUUCUUUUUAUCAUAUGCUUCAACAGUAGAGAAAAAUAACAGAUUCAUAUAUUGAUCCUUCUACGUGGUUCCCGAAAAGAAGUUGAAAGAAUAAAAAGUUCAACGGACGUCGGACCCAAAAUUUGAUACAUUCAAUAUGAAAUCUUUCCAUCAUAUGCCUCAACAGAGAAAAAAAACCCAGAUUUUAAUAUAGACGAAUCGACA